This 1171-nucleotide long non-coding RNA is filed under the name Brassica napus (rape). Its description in RNAcentral is "long non-coding RNA (BNAP_LNC008940)". The record is from RNAcentral. Lineage: Eukaryota; Viridiplantae; Streptophyta; Magnoliopsida; Brassicales; Brassicaceae.
GGGUUGGUAGAGUUUUAGCGUUAGAUGGGAUUUAUGGUUAGGUUUAGGUAGGAUUAAUAGGGUUUAGGGUUAGGCAAGGUUUAGGGUUAACAGGAUUUAGGGUUAGGUAGGGUUUAGGGUUAGAAAGGAUUUAGGGUUAGGUAGGGAGUUAAGCAGGGUUUAGGGUUAAAAAGGAUUUAGGGUUAGGUAGGGUUUAGGGUUAAAAAUGGUUUAGGGUUGGUAGCGUCUAGGGCUAGGUAGAGUUUAGGGUUAGGUAGGGUUUAGGGUUAUGUAGGGUUUAGGGUUAGAAGGGGUUAGGUAGGGUUUAGGAUUAGGUAGGGUUUAGGGUUAUGUAGGGCUUAGGGUUAGUAGGGUUUAGGGUUAAUAGGGUUAGAAGGGGUUUAGGGUUAGGUAGGGUUUAAGGUUAAAAAGGGUUUAGGGUAGGUAGGGUUUAGGGUUAGGUAGGGUUUAGGGUUUGGUAGGGUUUAGAAUUAGGUAGGGUAUAGGGUUAGGUAGGGUUUAGGGUUACGUAGGGUUUAGGGUUAGUAGGGUUUAAGGUUAGUAGGGUUUUGGGUUAGGUAGGGUUUAGGGUUAGUAGGGUUUUGGGUUAGGUAGGGUUUAGGGCUAGAAAUGGUUUAGGGUUAGAAAGGUUUUAGGUUAGGUAGGGUUUAGGUUAGGUAGGGUUAGUAGGGUUUAUGGUUAUGUAGGGGUAGGGUUAGGUAGGGUUUAGGGUUAUUAGGGUUUAGGGUUAGGUAGAGUUUAGGAUAGGUAGGGUUUAGGGUAAGGGUUAGGUAGGGUUUAGGGUUAGGUUUUAGGUAGGGGUUUAGGGUUAGGAAAGGUUUAGGGUUAGGUAGGGUUUAGGGUUAGUUAGGGUUUAGGGUUAAAUAGGGUUUAGGGUUAGGUAGGGUUUACGUUUAGGGUUAGGUAGGUUUAGGGUUUAGGUAGUAUGAAGGGUUUAGGGAUUAGGGUUAGGUUUAUGUAGGGUUUAGGGUUAGAUAGGGUUAAGGUCUAGGUUUAGAUAGGGUGUAGGGUUAGGUAGGAUUUAGUGUUUAGGUAGUAUGAAAGGUUUAGCGUUGGGUUUAAGGUUUGGUUUAAAAUAAUGUUUAGGAUUAUAGGGUUUGGGGUUUUUUUGUUUUUUUGUUUAUACAUUUAGUAUUGAGUUUUUUCGAUAAAAUUUUAUAGUAAUAUUAUU